This 1326-nucleotide ribosomal RNA is filed under the name Lactiplantibacillus pentosus. RNAcentral's name for it is "bacterial SSU rRNA". It matches the Rfam family "Bacterial small subunit ribosomal RNA", at positions 89 to 1402 of the family's 1533-position model. Lineage: Bacteria; Bacillati; Bacillota; Bacilli; Lactobacillales; Lactobacillaceae. The record is from RNAcentral.
GAGUGAGUGGCGAACUGGUGAGUAACGCGUGGGAAACCUGCCCAGAAGCGGGGGAUAACACCUGGAAACAGAUGCUAAUACCGCAUAACAACUUGGACCGCAUGGUCCGAGUUUGAAAGAUGGCUUCGGCUAUCACUUUUGGAUGGUCCCGCGGCGUAUUAGCUAGAUGGUGGGGUAACGGCUCACCAUGGCAAUGAUACGUAGCCGACCUGAGAGGGUAAUCGGCCACAUUGGGACUGAGACACGGCCCAAACUCCUACGGGAGGCAGCAGUAGGGAAUCUUCCACAAUGGACGAAAGUCUGAUGGAGCAACGCCGCGUGAGUGAAGAAGGGUUUCGGCUCGUAAAACUCUGUUGUUAAAGAAGAACAUAUCUGAGAGUAACUGUUCAGGUAUUGACGGUAUUUAACCAGAAAGCCACGGCUAACUACGUGCCAGCAGCCGCGGUAAUACGUAGGUGGCAAGCGUUGUCCGGAUUUAUUGGGCGUAAAGCGAGCGCAGGCGGUUUUUUAAGUCUGAUGUGAAAGCCUUCGGCUCAACCGAAGAAGUGCAUCGGAAACUGGGAAACUUGAGUGCAGAAGAGGACAGUGGAACUCCAUGUGUAGCGGUGAAAUGCGUAGAUAUAUGGAAGAACACCAGUGGCGAAGGCGGCUGUCUGGUCUGUAACUGACGCUGAGGCUCGAAAGUAUGGGUAGCAAACAGGAUUAGAUACCCUGGUAGUCCAUACCGUAAACGAUGAAUGCUAAGUGUUGGAGGGUUUCCGCCCUUCAGUGCUGCAGCUAACGCAUUAAGCAUUCCGCCUGGGGAGUACGGCCGCAAGGCUGAAACUCAAAGGAAUUGACGGGGGCCCGCACAAGCGGUGGAGCAUGUGGUUUAAUUCGAAGCUACGCGAAGAACCUUACCAGGUCUUGACAUACUAUGCAAAUCUAAGAGAUUAGACGUUCCCUUCGGGGACAUGGAUACAGGUGGUGCAUGGUUGUCGUCAGCUCGUGUCGUGAGAUGUUGGGUUAAGUCCCGCAACGAGCGCAACCCUUAUUAUCAGUUGCCAGCAUUAAGUUGGGCACUCUGGUGAGACUGCCGGUGACAAACCGGAGGAAGGUGGGGAUGACGUCAAAUCAUCAUGCCCCUUAUGACCUGGGCUACACACGUGCUACAAUGGAUGGUACAACGAGUUGCGAACUCGCGAGAGUAAGCUAAUCUCUUAAAGCCAUUCUCAGUUCGGAUUGUAGGCUGCAACUCGCCUACAUGAAGUCGGAAUCGCUAGUAAUCGCGGAUCAGCAUGCCGCGGUGAAUACGUUCCCGGGCCUUGUACACACCGCCCGUCACAC